CGCGCCCGUCCCGCCGCCCCCGCCCGCCUACGGGAGGCAGCAGUAGGGAAUCUUCCACAAUGGACGAAAGUCUGAUGGAGCAACGCCGCGUGAGCGAUGAAGGCCUUCGGGUCGUAAAGCUCUGUUGUUAGGGAAGAACAAGUACCGGAGUAACUGCCGGUACCUUGACGGUACCUAACCAGAAAGCCACGGCUAACUACGUGCCAGCAGCCGCGGUAAUACGUAGGUGGCAAGCGUUGUCCGGAAUUAUUGGGCGUAAAGCGCGCGCAGGCGGUUUCUUAAGUCUGAUGUGAAAGCCCACGGCUCAACCGUGGAGGGUCAUUGGAAACUGGGAAACUUGAGUGCAGAAGAGGAAAGUGGAAUUCCACGUGUAGCGGUGAAAUGCGUAGAGAUGUGGAGGAACACCAGUGGCGAAGGCGACUUUCUGGUCUGUAACUGACGCUGAGGCGCGAAAGCGUGGGGAGCAAACAGGAUUAGAUACCCUGGUAGUCCACGCCGUAAACGAUGAGUGCUAAGUGUUAGAGGGUUUCCGCCCUUUAGUGCUGCAGCUAACGCAUA
This 558-nucleotide ribosomal RNA is filed under the name Bacillus sp. R2A(2012). Its description in RNAcentral is "bacterial SSU rRNA". It matches the Rfam family "Bacterial small subunit ribosomal RNA", at positions 314 to 861 of the family's 1533-position model. The record is from RNAcentral. Lineage: Bacteria; Bacillati; Bacillota; Bacilli; Caryophanales; Bacillaceae.